CGCGAAAAUUGACUGGCGGUCGGAAGUGAAAAAGAUAAGCGCAAAAUCACAGACAGACAGUACGCAAAAUGCCUAUGUCCUGUUGUGUUUACGGAUGCUCCAGUAGGUCGACCAGAGAAACCGAUAAACGGUAUUUUAGGGUACCAAAAAUAGCCCAACGAAGAGGAGAAAAAUGAAAAAUUCUAACCGAAAAAUGUAGGAAAAAAUGGAUUUUAAAUUUACGUUUACAGUCGGGAGGAGCAGAGUCUGCCAAUGCCCGUGUCUGCAGCGACCACUUCGUCAGAGGCUGCCCAAGUGCUUUGGAUGACGAAGAGUCGGAGGACUGGGCUCCGACGGUCAAUCUCGGCUACGAACGAAAACCCAGAUCGGAAUCAGUUCUCAAACGAGAGAAAAGAAUGAAGCUUAAGGCAGAACAGCAUCGAUGUGCAGAGGCGAUUUUGGAUAUGCAACAGACGGCUGAGAGCCCGGAUUUGAGCCUAGUGACAGUGGAGAACCCCGAACUGCAGCUUCCAGCUGAGAAUCCACAACCAGAAGACUUCAGUGUGAAUGAGACAUUCACUUAUCCAGGUAAGAUAUUGUGCUGAGAUGUAAAACAAACAAGAAUCAUGUCACUUCUCCAUCCUCCUUUGCAAUUACCCAAGUCUUCAGAGGUGUCUCGUUAGACCUCUGGGAAUGGUUUACCUUGAAACAAACAACUGUCACUCUAACGAAGUCCUAAGGAUGUGGCAUGUUUGUUGACGUUAAAGCCGCUACCGCUAACUGUUAGCGUGUUUAAGAUAAAGCAAUAUAAGAACAAACACUCACCCUUGCAAACACCAAACUGUAUCCAUCACGGAGACGUUUUGUUCCAAGGUUGUGGACCCACCCGCUGACAAAAAAAUUGUACGCCUCCAGACUCUUGAAAGCUUUCAUUUGCUGCCUAGUGUAGUAAGAAGUCUGGAGGACCAAGUAGUUGGUGAUAUCCACAGCCUCGAUAGUAGGCAAAUCCUUUACUUCUGUGGUGUAUUCGGACAUUUUCAAAGAAUACGGAUCACGUCCGAUAUAUUUUUUAACUAUCUGUUUAUAUCUCUCCCGAGAAACGGGGUCUAAAGUUGCACAAUAGCUGCUCUCCUGACUCUCCACAGUGUCCUCCAUGUUUACUUCCGCCCUCCACUCAAAAAUCGCGCUGCCUCCGCACGUCAUCAGAACCACGUGACCGCAACCCAACUAUUGAUAGAAAACAGAUUGAUGUGUUUUUUUUCAUGUUUGGAGUGUUUAUAGAGGCAGUAGAGACCCAUAUUUCAGCACAAAAGGAGACAAAGCUGAGUUUUGCAUAAUAUUUCCCCUUCCAAGUGACAGAGCCCUUAAACCUGAAACAUCCUGUUUUUCAGACCUCCUCCACUGAGGAUGAACGGCUGA
This 1398-nucleotide long non-coding RNA is filed under the name Oreochromis niloticus (Nile tilapia). RNAcentral's name for it is "lncRNA (ENSONIG00000036334.1)". Lineage: Eukaryota; Metazoa; Chordata; Actinopteri; Cichliformes; Cichlidae. The record is from RNAcentral.